Molecule: ribosomal RNA, 2891 nt
Filed under: Escherichia coli
Lineage: Bacteria; Pseudomonadati; Pseudomonadota; Gammaproteobacteria; Enterobacterales; Enterobacteriaceae
Description: bacterial LSU rRNA
Rfam family: Bacterial large subunit ribosomal RNA
Source: RNAcentral
UAAGCGUACACGGUGGAUGCCCUGGCAGUCAGAGGCGAUGAAGGACGUGCUAAUCUGCGAUAAGCGUCGGUAAGGUGAUAUGAACCGUUAUAACCGGCGAUUUCCGAAUGGGGAAACCCAGUGUGUUUCGACACACUAUCAUUAACUGAAUCCAUAGGUUAAUGAGGCGAACCGGGGGAACUGAAACAUCUAAGUACCCCGAGGAAAAGAAAUCAACCGAGAUUCCCCCAGUAGCGGCGAGCGAACGGGGAGCAGCCCAGAGCCUGAAUCAGUGUGUGUGUUAGUGGAAGCGUCUGGAAAGGCGCGCGAUACAGGGUGACAGCCCCGUACACAAAAAUGCACAUGCUGUGAGCUCGAUGAGUAGGGCGGGACACGUGGUAUCCUGUCUGAAUAUGGGGGGACCAUCCUCCAAGGCUAAAUACUCCUGACUGACCGAUAGUGAACCAGUACCGUGAGGGAAAGGCGAAAAGAACCCCGGCGAGGGGAGUGAAAAAGAACCUGAAACCGUGUACGUACAAGCAGUGGGAGCACGCUUAGGCGUGUGACUGCGUACCUUUUGUAUAAUGGGUCAGCGACUUAUAUUCUGUAGCAAGGUUAACCGAAUAGGGGAGCCGAAGGGAAACCGAGUCUUAACUGGGCGUUAAGUUGCAGGGUAUAGACCCGAAACCCGGUGAUCUAGCCAUGGGCAGGUUGAAGGUUGGGUAACACUAACUGGAGGACCGAACCGACUAAUGUUGAAAAAUUAGCGGAUGACUUGUGGCUGGGGGUGAAAGGCCAAUCAAACCGGGAGAUAGCUGGUUCUCCCCGAAAGCUAUUUAGGUAGCGCCUCGUGAAUUCAUCUCCGGGGGUAGAGCACUGUUUCGGCAAGGGGGUCAUCCCGACUUACCAACCCGAUGCAAACUGCGAAUACCGGAGAAUGUUAUCACGGGAGACACACGGCGGGUGCUAACGUCCGUCGUGAAGAGGGAAACAACCCAGACCGCCAGCUAAGGUCCCAAAGUCAUGGUUAAGUGGGAAACGAUGUGGGAAGGCCCAGACAGCCAGGAUGUUGGCUUAGAAGCAGCCAUCAUUUAAAGAAAGCGUAAUAGCUCACUGGUCGAGUCGGCCUGCGCGGAAGAUGUAACGGGGCUAAACCAUGCACCGAAGCUGCGGCAGCGACGCUGAUGCGUUGUUGGGUAGGGGAGCGUUCUGUAAGCCUGCGAAGGUGUGCUGUGAGGCAUGCUGGAGGUAUCAGAAGUGCGAAUGCUGACAUAAGUAACGAUAAAGCGGGUGAAAAGCCCGCUCGCCGGAAGACCAAGGGUUCCUGUCCAACGUUAAUCGGGGCAGGGUGAGUCGACCCCUAAGGCGAGGCCGAAAGGCGUAGUCGAUGGGAAACAGGUUAAUAUUCCUGUACUUGGUGUUACUGCGAAGGGGGGACGGAGAAGGCUAUGUUGGCCGGGCGACGGUUGUCCCGGUUUAAGCGUGUAGGCUGGUUUUCCAGGCAAAUCCGGAAAAUCAAGGCUGAGGCGUGAUGACGAGGCACUACGGUGCUGAAGCAACAAAUGCCCUGCUUCCAGGAAAAGCCUCUAAGCAUCAGGUAACAUCAAAUCGUACCCCAAACCGACACAGGUGGUCAGGUAGAGAAUACCAAGGCGCUUGAGAGAACUCGGGUGAAGGAACUAGGCAAAAUGGUGCCGUAACUUCGGGAGAAGGCACGCUGAUAUGUAGGUGAAGCGACUUGCUCGUGGAGCUGAAAUCAGUCGAAGAUACCAGCUGGCUGCAACUGUUUAUUAAAAACACAGCACUGUGCAAACACGAAAGUGGACGUAUACGGUGUGACGCCUGCCCGGUGCCGGAAGGUUAAUUGAUGGGGUCAGCGCAAGCGAAGCUCUUGAUCGAAGCCCCGGUAAACGGCGGCCGUAACUAUAACGGUCCUAAGGUAGCGAAAUUCCUUGUCGGGUAAGUUCCGACCUGCACGAAUGGCGUAAUGAUGGCCAGGCUGUCUCCACCCGAGACUCAGUGAAAUUGAACUCGCUGUGAAGAUGCAGUGUACCCGCGGCAAGACGGAAAGACCCCGUGAACCUUUACUAUAGCUUGACACUGAACAUUGAGCCUUGAUGUGUAGGAUAGGUGGGAGGCUUGGAAGUGUGGACGCCAGUCUGCAUGGAGCCGACCUUGAAAUACCACCCUUUAAUGUUUGAUGUUCUAACGUUGACCCGUAAUCCGGGUUGCGGACAGUGUCUGGUGGGUAGUUUGACUGGGGCGGUCUCCUCCUAAAGAGUAACGGAGGAGCACGAAGGUUGGCUAAUCCUGGUCGGACAUCAGGAGGUUAGUGCAAUGGCAUAAGCCAGCUUGACUGCGAGCGUGACGGCGCGAGCAGGUGCGAAAGCAGGUCAUAGUGAUCCGGUGGUUCUGAAUGGAAGGGCCAUCGCUCAACGGAUAAAAGGUACUCCGGGGAUAACAGGCUGAUACCGCCCAAGAGUUCAUAUCGACGGCGGUGUUUGGCACCUCGAUGUCGGCUCAUCACAUCCUGGGGCUGAAGUAGGUCCCAAGGGUAUGGCUGUUCGCCAUUUAAAGUGGUACGCGAGCUGGGUUUAGAACGUCGUGAGACAGUUCGGUCCCUAUCUGCCGUGGGCGCUGGAGAACUGAGGGGGGCUGCUCCUAGUACGAGAGGACCGGAGUGGACGCAUCACUGGUGUUCGGGUUGUCAUGCCAAUGGCACUGCCCGGUAGCUAAAUGCGGAAGAGAUAAGUGCUGAAAGCAUCUAAGCACGAAACUUGCCCCGAGAUGAGUUCUCCCUGACUCCUUGAGAGUCCUGAAGGAACGUUGAAGACGACGACGUUGAUAGGCCGGGUGUGUAAGCGCAGCGAUGCGUUGAGCUAACCGGUACUAAUGAACCGUGAGGCUUAACC